Molecule: ribosomal RNA, 464 nt
Filed under: uncultured bacterium
Lineage: Bacteria
Description: partial 16S ribosomal RNA
Rfam family: Bacterial small subunit ribosomal RNA
Source: RNAcentral
GACGAACGCUGGCGGCGUGCUUAACACAUGCAAGUCGAGCGGAAAGGCCCUUCUUGGGGUUCUCGAGCGGCGAACGGGUGAGUAACACGCGUGUAAUCUUCCCUUCACUUGGGGAUAACCUCCGGAAACGGGGGCCAAUUCCCGCAACGGCCAUUCCUCGCAUGGGGUGGUGGCGGAAAGUUUCUCGGUGGGGGAUGGGCCCGCGGCCUAUUAGCUUGUUGGUGGGGUAAUGGCCUACCAAGGCUUCGACGGGUAACCGGCCUGAGAGGGUGACCGGCCACACUGGGACUGAGACACGGCCCAGACGCCUACGGGAGGCAGCAGUGGGGAAUAUUGGACAAUGGGCGGAAGCCUGAUCCAGCAACGCCGCGUGAGGGAUGACGGCCUUCGGGUGGUAAACCUCUUUCACCUGUGACGAAGCGAAAGUGACGGUAGCAGGAGAAGAAGCACCGGCCAACUACGUG